GAUGAACGCUGGCGGCGUGCCUAAUACAUGCAAGUCGAGCGAACAGACGAGGAGCUUGCUCCUCUGACGUUAGCGGCGGACGGGUGAGUAACACGUGGAUAACCUACCUAUAAGACUGGGAUAACUUCGGGAAACCGGAGCUAAUACCGGAUAACAUGUUGAACCGCAUGGUUCAACAGUGAAAGACGGUUUUGCUGUCACUUAUAGAUGGAUCCGCGUCGCAUUAGCUAGUUGGUAAGGUAACGGCUUACCAAGGCAACGAUGCGUAGCCGACCUGAGAGGGUGAUCGGCCACACUGGAACUGAGACACGGUCCAGGCUCCUACGGGAGGCCGCAGUAGGGAAUCUUCCGCAAUGGGCGAAAGCCUGACGGAGCAACGCCGCGUGAGUGAAGAAGGUCUUCGGAUCGUAAAACUCUGUUAUUAGGGAAGAACAAAUGUGUAAGUAACGAUGCGCGUCUUGACGGUACCUAAUCAGAAAGCCACGGCUAACUACGU
RNAcentral lists this ribosomal RNA (496 nucleotides) under uncultured bacterium. RNAcentral describes it as "partial 16S ribosomal RNA". It matches the Rfam family "Bacterial small subunit ribosomal RNA", at positions 28 to 506 of the family's 1533-position model. The record is from RNAcentral.